RNAcentral lists this long non-coding RNA (1526 nucleotides) under Homo sapiens (human). RNAcentral describes it as "non-protein coding lnc-GATA3-7:5". Lineage: Eukaryota; Metazoa; Chordata; Mammalia; Primates; Hominidae. The record is from RNAcentral.
UGGCUGAAUUUAAUCACCAAGGGAUGAGGAAGGCUACAAAAUGUGUCUACCUGUAUUCUGUGAGGAGAACGUGUUCCCUGGUUUUAGAUACUGUGAAGAUGGAUCAGGAGAGAGUUUAUCUAGACUGUUGGGGAAAGGUGUUGCGAUUCCUUCAGCUACACAGGAUUGAAAGGAGACAUUUCUGAAGGGGAAAAAGGAAAUGAAAGAAAAGAUGUUUCAGAUUGAGGAUAUGCUGUGUGGUGAACUUGUUCUUCACUCUGUAGGGUUCACAAAUGACUCUUCACUGCCCUCUUGGAUGAAAUAAACUGGUUCCCAUAGAAAUGGACCGUCUCUGAUUUCACAGUCUAGAGCACACAAAUAACUCAACUUUCUGGAAGCAAGGGUGAUGGCUCGUGAGAGCUCAAGGACAAGGAGGAGUCUGUAGAAGCACACCUGGACUCGGGGAAAUCAUUGACCUCUCAUCCUGAAUUAAGUAGCGCUUGAAAAGACUCUCUUUGAAUCAGAAAAAUAAUGCGAGCUCCUAUCAAACUACCUUACACAGCCAACUGAGUGAUCAUAGGCUUGGGUGGAAAAAAUGUAAUUCGUAGAACCUUUUAAGAGCUAAGAUUCCUUAAUCAACAUGGAUACCGUCUUGUUGAAUGACACCGAACUGUGCUGCGCAGGAUUCGGUUGCAUGGUGGCUGGAGCUGCCUCUCUGGGACCCAAAUCUCAGACCUGCUGCAAAGUGACUAUAUGAUCUGCAACUUGCUAACCCUUCUAGGCUUUUGUUUUAUUAUUUACAUAAUGAAGUGAGGGGAAUAUGUUCCUUGUAAAUUUGUUAAGAGGAUUAAAUUAGUUCAUGUCAAAUGAUUUAGAACACUGUCUGCCACAUAUUAAGGACUCAACAAAUACUACCUAUUAUUAACAAUGUGCCCUAAAUCUGUAAAUCACUCAAUAAUACAUGGCAUUAGGCUAAAUAUGGAAGGUAGAAGGAAAUAAAUUGUCCAGAAGCUAAAAAUAUGAAAGACUCUUCAUAUAUUUAAAAUAUUUUCUUUAAUUCUUUUGUUUUUUUCUUUUUUGAGACAGAGUCUCGCUCCGUCACCCAGGCUGGAGUGCAGUGGCAUGUUCUCGGCUCGCUGCAGCCUCUGCUUCCUGGAUUCAAGUGAUUCUCCUUCCUCAGCCUCCCAAGUAGCUGGAAUUACAGGCAUGUGCCAACAUGCCGAGCUAAUUUUUUUAUUUUUUGUAGAGAUGGGGUUUCACCAUGUUGCCCAGGCUGGUUUCAAACUCCUGACCUCAAGUGAGCCACCCACCUUGGCCUUCCAAAGUGCUGAGAUUACAGGCUUGAGUCACUGUGCCCAGCCUGAAAUAUCUUCUUCACAUCUUUUCAUAUGCAUAUUUGUUUUUACAAGUACAUAAAUAUACAUUUUUGAUAUAACUUGGAAUCUUGCAUUUUCUAACUCAAUGUCUAACUAAGCCGCAGAACAGGAUGUUGAAUCCAGCACAUUGCAAUACUUGCCUAUCAACAGAGGACAUGCAUAAGGUCACUG